CAAUAGCGUAUAUUUAAGUUGUUGCAGUUAAAAAGCUCGUAGUUGGAUUUCGGGUGGGACGCAGCGGUCUCGCAUUGCGUUUGUACUGCUGCAGCCCUCCUUCUUGCCGGGGGCGGCCUCUCGGACUUCACUGUCUGGGGGUCAGAAUCGGCGAUGUUACUUUGAGUAAAUUAGAGUGUUCAAAGCAAGCUUACGCUCUGAAUAUAAUAGCAUGGGAUGACACGACAGGACUCUGGCCUAUCGUGUUGGUCUAUAGGACCAGAGUAAUGAUUAAGAGGGACAGUCGGGGGCAUUCGUAUUCCGUUGUCAGAGGUGAAAUUCUUGGAUUUACGGAAGACGAACAUCUGCGAAAGCAUUUGCCAAGGAUGUUUUCAUUGA
RNAcentral lists this ribosomal RNA (378 nucleotides) under uncultured eukaryote. RNAcentral describes it as "partial 18S ribosomal RNA". It matches the Rfam family "Eukaryotic small subunit ribosomal RNA", at positions 592 to 976 of the family's 1831-position model. The record is from RNAcentral.